RNAcentral lists this non-coding RNA (105 nucleotides) under unclassified sequences. Its description in RNAcentral is "cow-rumen-2 RNA". It matches the Rfam family "cow-rumen-2 RNA". Rfam says of the family: cow rumen metagenome. Environment (Cow rumen (57)) The record is from Rfam by way of RNAcentral.
AUCGUAGUUUGGAUUAGCAACCCAAACAUAUAGCCGCUUUGGUAGAAUAGAAUGUAGCUGGAGUACAGGAAAACCGACCCAUAAGUCUAUUCGUAAAUCCCACAG